UGGGGAAUAUUGGACAAUGGGCGAAAGCCUGAUCCAGCCAUGCCGCGUGUGUGAAGAAAGGUCUUCGGAUUGUAAAGCACUUUAAGUUGGGAGGAAGGGCAGUAAGUUAGGUACCUUAGCUGUUUUGACGUUACCGACAGAAUAAGCACCGGCUAUACUCUGUGC
Molecule: ribosomal RNA, 165 nt
Filed under: uncultured bacterium
Lineage: Bacteria
Description: partial 16S ribosomal RNA
Rfam family: Bacterial small subunit ribosomal RNA
Source: RNAcentral